AUUGAACGCUGGCGGCAGGCCUAACACAUGCAAGUCGAACGGUAGCACAGAGAGCUUGUUCUCGGGUGACGGGUGGCGGACGGGUGAGUAACGUCUGGGAAACUGCCCGAUGGAGGGGGAUAACUACUGGAAACGGUAGCUAAUACCGCAUAACGUCGCAAGACCAAAGUGGGGGACCUUCGGGCCUCACACCAUCGGAUGUGCCCAGAUGGGAUUAGCUAGUAGGUGGGGUAAUGGCUCACCUAGGCGACGAUCCCUAGCUGGUCUGAGAGGAUGACCAGCCACACUGGAAAUGAGACACGGUCCAGACUCCUACGGGAGGCAGCAGUGGGGAAUAUUGCACAAUGGGCGCAAGCCUGAUGCAGCCAUGCCGCGUGUAUGAAGAAGGCCUUCGGGCUGUAAAGUACUUUCAGCGGGGAGGAAGGCGGUGAAGUUAAUAACUUCACCGAUUGACGUUACCCGCAGAAGAAGCACCGGCUAACUCCGUGCCAGCCGCCGCAGUAA
This 504-nucleotide ribosomal RNA is filed under the name uncultured bacterium. RNAcentral describes it as "partial 16S ribosomal RNA". It matches the Rfam family "Bacterial small subunit ribosomal RNA", at positions 30 to 523 of the family's 1533-position model. The record is from RNAcentral.